RNAcentral lists this ribosomal RNA (253 nucleotides) under uncultured bacterium. Its description in RNAcentral is "partial 16S ribosomal RNA". It matches the Rfam family "Bacterial small subunit ribosomal RNA", at positions 524 to 776 of the family's 1533-position model. The record is from RNAcentral.
UACGUAGGUGGCGAGCGUUGUCCGGAUUUACUGGGCGUAAAGCGUCCGCAGGCGGCCUGUUAAGUUGGGUGUGAAAGGUUGGGGCCCAACCCCAAGACGGCACCCAAUACUGGCAGGCUUGAGUCUCGGAGAGGAGAACGGAACUGCACGUGUAGCGGUGAAAUGCGUUGAGAUGUGCAGGAACACCAGUGGCGAAAGCGGUUCUCUGGACGAGCACUGACGCUGAGGGACGAAAGCCAGGGGAGCAAACGGG